ACAAACGCUGGCGGCGUGCCUAACACAUGCAAGUCGAACGAGAAAGGGACCUUCGGGUCCUGAGUAAAGUGGCGCACGGGUGAGUAACGCGUGGAUAAUCUGCCCUAAAGUCGGGAAUAACUCAUCGAAGGGUGGGCUAAUACCGGAUAAUGCUGCUUUCGCCGUGGCGAUGCAGCCAAAGGGGGCCUCUAUUUAUAAGCUCUUGCUUAAGGAUGAGUCCGCGUACCAUUAGCUAGUUGGUGGGGUAAUGGCCUACCAAGGCGACGAUGGUUAGCUGGUCUGAGAGGAUGAUCAGCCACACUGGAACUGAGAUACGGUCCAGACUCCUACGGGAGGCAGCAGUGAGGAAUCUUGCGCAAUGGGGGAAACCCUGACGCAGCAACGCCGCGUGAGUGAGGAAGGUUUUCGGAUCGUAAAGCUCUGUCGGGUGGAAAGAAAAUGACGGUAGCAUAUGAAUAAGCACCGGCUAACUCCGU
Molecule: ribosomal RNA, 476 nt
Filed under: uncultured bacterium
Lineage: Bacteria
Description: bacterial SSU rRNA
Rfam family: Bacterial small subunit ribosomal RNA
Source: RNAcentral